This 281-nucleotide ribosomal RNA is filed under the name uncultured bacterium. RNAcentral's name for it is "partial 16S ribosomal RNA". It matches the Rfam family "Bacterial small subunit ribosomal RNA", at positions 30 to 305 of the family's 1533-position model. The record is from RNAcentral.
AUUGAACGCUGGCGGCAUGCCUUACACAUGCAAGUCGAACGGCAGCAUGAUGUGUAGCAAUACACGUUGAUGGCGAGUGGCGAACGGGUGAGUAAUAUAUCGGAACAUGUCCUGUAGCGGGGGAUAACCUAUCGAAAGAUGGACUAAUACCGCAUACGCUCCACGGAGGAAAGGCGGGGUCGCAAGACCUCGCACUAUAGGAGUGGCCGAUAUCGGAUUAGCUAGUUGGCGGGUAAAAGCCCACCAAGGCGACGAUCCGUAGCUGGUCUGAGAGGAUGAUC